RNAcentral lists this ribosomal RNA (548 nucleotides) under uncultured Glomeromycotina. RNAcentral's name for it is "SSU rRNA". It matches the Rfam family "Eukaryotic small subunit ribosomal RNA", at positions 548 to 1097 of the family's 1831-position model. Lineage: Eukaryota; Fungi; Glomeromycota. The record is from RNAcentral.
UUGGAGGGCAAGUCUGGUGCCAGCAGCCGCGGUAAUUCCAGCUCCAAUAGCGUAUAUUAAAGUUGUUGCAGUUAAAAAGCUCGUAGUUGAAUUUCGGGGUCAGUAGGCUGGUCGUGCCUCAGGUACGUACUGGUCUUACUGAUUCCUCCUUCCUGAUGAACCGUAAUGCCAUUAAUUUGGUGUUGCGGGGAAUCUGGACUGUUACUUUGAAAAAAUUAGAGUGUUUAAAGCAGGCUAACGCUUGAAUACAUUAGCAUGGAAUAAUGAAAUAGGACGAUCGAUCCUAUUUUGUUGGUUUCUAGGAUUGACGUAAUGAUUAAUAGGGAUAGUUGGGGGCAUUAGUAUUCAAUUGUCAGAGGUGAAAUUCUUGGAUUUAUUGAAGACUAACUACUGCGAAAGCAUUUGCCAAGGAUGUUUUCAUUAAUCAAGAACGAAAGUUAGGGGAUCGAAGACGAUCAGAUACCGUCGUAGUCUUAACCAUAAACUAUGCCGACUAGGGAUCGGAUGAUGUUAAUUUUUUAAUGACUCAUUCGGCGCCUUACGGGAAA